AUUGAACGCUGGCGGCAUGCCUAACACAUGCAAGUCGAACGGUAACAGACCGCUGGGAUCCCUUCGGGGUGACCUUGGUGCUGACGAGUGGCGGACGGGUGAGUAACACUUGGGAAUCUGCCCAGUAGUCGGGGGACAACCCGGGGAAACCCGGGCUAAUACCGCAUACGCCCUACGGGGGAAAGGGGGCCUCUUCUUGAAAGCUCUCGCUAUUGGAUGAGCCCAAGUCGGAUUAGCUUGUUGGUGAGGUAAAAGCUCACCAAGGCGACGAUCCGUAGCUGGUCUGAGAGGACGAUCAGCCACACUGGGACUGAGACACGGCCCAGACUCCUACGGGAGGCAGCAGUGGGGAAUAUUGGACAAUGGGCGAAAGCCUGAUCCAGCAAUGCCGCGUGUGUGAAGAAGGCCUGCGGGUUGUAAAGCACUUUCAGUGGAGAAGAAAAGCCGGACGCUAAUACCGACCGGUCUUGACGUAACCUACAGAAGAAGCACCGGCUAACUCCGUG
RNAcentral lists this ribosomal RNA (506 nucleotides) under uncultured bacterium. RNAcentral's name for it is "bacterial SSU rRNA". It matches the Rfam family "Bacterial small subunit ribosomal RNA", at positions 30 to 507 of the family's 1533-position model. The record is from RNAcentral.